Molecule: ribosomal RNA, 370 nt
Filed under: uncultured bacterium
Lineage: Bacteria
Description: bacterial SSU rRNA
Rfam family: Bacterial small subunit ribosomal RNA
Source: RNAcentral
GGAGGGUGCAAGCGUUAAUCGGAAUUACUGGGCGUAAAGCGCACGCAGGCGGUCUGUCAAGUCGGAUGUGAAAUCCCCGGGCUCAACCUGGGAACUGCAUUCGAAACUGGCAGGCUAGAGUCUUGUAGAGGGGGUAGAAUUCCAGGUGUAGCGGUGAAAUGCGUAGAGAUCUGGAGGAAUAUCGGUGGCGAAGGCGGCCCCCUGGACAAAGACUGACGCUCAGGUGCGAAAGCGUGGGAGCAAACAGGAUUAGAUACCCUGGUAGUCCACGCCGUAAACGAUGUCGACUUGGAGGUUGUUCCCCUUGAGGAGUGGCUUCCGGAGCUAACGCGUUAAGUCGACCGCCUGGGGAGUACGGCCGCAAGGUUUA